UUGAUGGAGUGCUUGCACUCCUGAUAGUUAGCGGCGGACGGGUGAGUAACACGUAGGUAACCUGCCCAUAAGACUGGGAUAACCCACGGAAACGUGAGCUAAUACCAGAUAGGCAUUUUCCUCGCAUGAGGGAGAUGAGAAAGGCGGAGCAAUCUGCCACUUAUGGAUGGACCUGCGGCGCAUUAGCUAGUUGGUAAGGUAACGGCUUACCAAGGCGACGAUGCGUAGCCGACCUGAGAGGGUGAUCGGCCACACUGGGACUGAGACACGGCCCAGACUCCUACGGGAGGCAGCAGUAGGGAAUCUUCCGCAAUGGACGAAAGUCUGACGGAGCAACGCCGCGUGAGUGAUGAAGGUUUUCGGAUCGUAAAGCUCUGUUGCCAGGGAAGAACGCCUAGGAGAGUAACUGCUCUUAGGGUGACGGUACCUGAGAAGAAAGCCCCGGCUAACUACGUGCCAGCAGCCGCGGUAAUACGUAGGGGGCGAGCGUUGUCCGGAAUUAUUGGGCGUAAAGCGCGCGCAGGCGGCAAUGUAAGUUGGGUGUUUAAACCUAGGGCUCAACCUUGGGUCGCAUCCAAAACUGCAUAGCUUGAGUACAGAAGAGGAAAGUGGAAUUCCACGUGUAGCUGUGAAAUGCGUAGAAAUGUGGAGGAACACCAGUGGCCAAGGCGACUUUCUGGGCUGUAACUGACGCUGAGGCGCGAAAGCGUGGGGAGCAAACAGGAUUAGAUACCCUGGAAGUCCACGCCGUAAACUAUGAAUGCUAGGUGUUAGGGGUUUCGAUACCCUUGGUGCCGAAGUUAACACAUUAAGCGUUCCGCCUGGGGAGUACGGUCGCAAGAAUGAAACUCAAAGGAAUUGACGGGGACCCGGACAAGCAGUUGAGUAUGUGG
RNAcentral lists this ribosomal RNA (893 nucleotides) under Paenibacillus sp. KS1. RNAcentral describes it as "Bacterial small subunit ribosomal RNA". It matches the Rfam family "Bacterial small subunit ribosomal RNA", at positions 68 to 944 of the family's 1533-position model. The record is from Rfam by way of RNAcentral. Lineage: Bacteria; Bacillati; Bacillota; Bacilli; Caryophanales; Paenibacillaceae.